RNAcentral lists this ribosomal RNA (292 nucleotides) under uncultured bacterium. Its description in RNAcentral is "partial 16S ribosomal RNA". It matches the Rfam family "Bacterial small subunit ribosomal RNA", at positions 505 to 796 of the family's 1533-position model. The record is from RNAcentral.
GUGCCAGCCGCCGCGGUAAUACAGAGGGUGCGAGCGUUAAUCGGAAUUACUGGGCGUAAAGGGCGCGUAGGCGGUUGUAUGUGAGUGAUGUGAAAUCCCCGGGCUUAACCUGGGAAGUGCAUUGCUGACUGUAUGACUGGAGUAUAUGAGAGGGUGGCGGAAUUUCCGGUGUAGCGGUGAAAUGCGUAGAGAUCGGAAGGAACGUCAAUGGCGAAGGCAGCCACCUGGCAUAAUACUGACGCUGAGGCGCGAAAGCAUGGGGAGCGAACAGGAUUAGAUACCCCUGUAGUCC